This 1067-nucleotide ribosomal RNA is filed under the name Staphylococcus aureus. Its description in RNAcentral is "bacterial SSU rRNA". It matches the Rfam family "Bacterial small subunit ribosomal RNA", at positions 88 to 1141 of the family's 1533-position model. The record is from RNAcentral. Lineage: Bacteria; Bacillati; Bacillota; Bacilli; Caryophanales; Staphylococcaceae.
GAUGUUAGCGGCGGACGGGUGAGUAACACGUGGAUAACCUACCUAUAAGACUGGGAUAACUUCGGGAAACCGGAGCUAAUACCGGAUAAUAUUUUGAACCGCAUGGUUCAAAAGUGAAAGACGGUCUUGCUGUCACUUAUAGAUGGAUCCGCGCUGCAUUAGCUAGUUGGUAAGGUAACGGCUUACCAAGGCAACGAUGCAUAGCCGACCUGAGAGGGUGAUCGGCCACACUGGAACUGAGACACGGUCCAGACUCCUACGGGAGGCAGCAGUAGGGAAUCUUCCGCAAUGGGCGAAAGCCUGACGGAGCAACGCCGCGUGAGUGAUGAAGGUCUUCGGAUCGUAAAACUCUGUUAUUAGGGAAGAACAUAUGUGUAAGUAACUGUGCACAUCUUGACGGUACCUAAUCAGAAAGCCACGGCUAACUACGUGCCAGCAGCCGCGGUAAUACGUAGGUGGCAAGCGUUAUCCGGAAUUAUUGGGCGUAAAGCGCGCGUAGGCGGUUUUUUAAGUCUGAUGUGAAAGCCCACGGCUCAACCGUGGAGGGUCAUUGGAAACUGGAAAACUUGAGUGCAGAAGAGGAAAGUGGAAUUCCAUGUGUAGCGGUGAAAUGCGCAGAGAUAUGGAGGAACACCAGUGGCGAAGGCGACUUUCUGGUCUGUAACUGACGCUGAUGUGCGAAAGCGUGGGGAUCAAACAGGAUUAGAUACCCUGGUAGUCCACGCCGUAAACGAUGAGUGCUAAGUGUUAGGGGGUUUCCGCCCCUUAGUGCUGCAGCUAACGCAUUAAGCACUCCGCCUGGGGAGUACGACCGCAAGGUUGAAACUCAAAGGAAUUGACGGGGACCCGCACAAGCGGUGGAGCAUGUGGUUUAAUUCGAAGCAACGCGAAGAACCUUACCAAAUCUUGACAUCCUUUGACAACUCUAGAGAUAGAGCCUUCCCCUUCGGGGGACAAAGUGACAGGUGGUGCAUGGUUGUCGUCAGCUCGUGUCGUGAGAUGUUGGGUUAAGUCCCGCAACGAGCGCAACCCUUAAGCUUAGUUGCCAUCAUUAAGUUGGGCACUCU